This 28-nucleotide non-coding RNA is filed under the name Rattus norvegicus (Norway rat). The record is from RNAcentral. Lineage: Eukaryota; Metazoa; Chordata; Mammalia; Rodentia; Muridae.
UCCAUCACAAGAAGUAUGUUUGAAAUGC